Molecule: ribosomal RNA, 474 nt
Filed under: Lactiplantibacillus plantarum
Lineage: Bacteria; Bacillati; Bacillota; Bacilli; Lactobacillales; Lactobacillaceae
Description: bacterial LSU rRNA
Rfam family: Bacterial large subunit ribosomal RNA
Source: RNAcentral
GUUAAGUUAACAAGGGCGCAUGGUGAAUGCCUUGGCACUAGGAGCCGAUGAAGGACGGGACUAACACCGAUAUGCUUCGGGGAGCUGUACGUAAGCUAUGAUCCGGAGAUUUCCGAAUGGGGCAACCCAGCAGUUUUAAUCAACUGUUACCACUAGAUGAAUUCAUAGUCUAGUUGGAGGUAAACGCUGUGAACUGAAACAUCUCAUUAGCAGCAGGAAUAUAAAGAAAUUUCGAUUCCCUAAGUAGCGGCGAGCGAACGGGGAACAGCCCAAACCAAAGUGCUUGCACUUUGGGGUUGUAGGACUGAACAUUUGAGUUACCAAAGAACUUGAUAGUCGAGGAUUUGGGAAAAUCCGCCAUAGAUGGUGAUAGCCCAGUAGAUUAAAUCAAAUUCUCUCAGUUCAGGAUCCUGAGUACGGCGGAACACGUGAAAUUCCGUCGGAAUCCGGGAGGACCAUCUCCCAAGGCUAAAU